CGCUAGGCUCGUACGACGUUUGUUUCCCUGGAAACGAGACAGAAGUGAGUCCUCUCGAUUUAAUCUCCGCUCUUUGACGUCCACGUCUCCUCCUCGGUGUCGGUGUCGGGUCCCAGCCUGCCUGCUUGCCGGUCGCUCGCGAUGUGUUAGAAAAGAAGAAGGGGGAAAACAACAACAACAACAACAACAACAAAACCCCACAUACACUCAGGAGUCAAAUUUAUAGAAAUGGCGGAGGCCACUGUGACUCUUAAAGGCUUGCGGACUCAAAUGGCUGCAGCUGCGCAGGCCCAAGCCGAGGAGCGGCGAAGCCAGGCCGUGAGUCCAACCCUUCCAGCAAACACAGCAGGCAAACUUCAGGGCUGUCGGCCAGUCCUUGACGGUGCUACACUUCGAGUUGACGAUCGUCUGCGAGUAGCAAAGGAGAGACGAGAGGAGGCAGACAGGCAACAAGCUUUGCGUGAAUCUCAGAUCAUGGAGCGUGAGCGUAAGGCCAAGAUGCAAGUGGAGCGUCAGCAAGAGGAACGUCAGAAGAAGGCUGUGGAGCAGCGAAGGAAGGAGGAGCAGAAGCGUCAGGCUGUGGAGGACAAGAGGAAGCAGAAACAGGAAGAGGAGAAGGAGCAUUACGAGGCAGUGAUGAGACGAACAUUAGAGCGAAGCCAGCGGGCCGACCAGAGACAGAAGAGAUGGUCCUGGGGAGGAUUAUCAACAGACUCAGAUGGGCGAACAGGAGACUCAGAUGCCAGCGCCUGUUCUCCAGUAGCUAUAGUAAUUUCUCCUGCCACACCAGAAAAGCCACCAAGGAACCGACAAGACAAGCGCUCCACUUCCACGGUGUACCUCAAACAGCCAUCAGAGGCUAUCAUCAGCAAACGCCUGUCCUCGUCCUCUGCCACCCUCAUCAAAUCUCCUGAUAAAAGUUUUAAAUCCAGGAGUCUGUCCUGUAACCGUUUGCCGCGGAAAGACAGUGCUGCUAAGGAGGAAAGCAAAAAGCUGCCGGUGGAACAGACAGGUGCCUCCAUGAAGAAGAGGAGUUGGUCCCUCACACGAGUAAGUGUGGGCAGAGCACAGACUCCUGCCAAGGCGGCUAAGGGGACAGCAGACAAUCAAGCUCGCAAGCAACCGACUUGCACUGUGGACGGAGGGGUCAUUAGUCGCCUGCUCACUCCCACCCAGGCCUCACUAGCUAGGAGCAAGAGCGCUGCCGCCCUUUCCCCUGAAGGAACAGAUACUCCAGAAUGUCACCUGUGUCCUCGCUCAGCCUCCGCCGCCACUCAACACCCGCCACGCGGGCCGUUGCGCAGCCGCAGCAUCGACCGGCAAAAGAACGGCAUGACCACCUCCGUGUCAGCAGACGGAGCCCUCGACCCCUCACUGAACAAGCAGGAAAAAACGUUUACCUCGCCCCGGAGGCAACGCCCGCCCUCUCCAUCCAUUCCCAUGGGACGCAACCGCUCGCCAUCCCCUGCCCCCAAACCAUCUCCAAAGAGGCCUCCUUCCCCAGCAGCAUCAAAGCAAAAUUCAAAGGCACGCCCACCCUCCCCUGCAAUGAAACAACAUCCCCCAUCCCCUCAGCCGACGUCAGCUAAACCUCCUCCGAUCCAGAAACCAGCUCUUACCCCACCAGGGCCCCCAACCCUGCGAAAAAGGGACUCCCGCUCCAAGGACCUGUUGUUACCUGUACAGGCUGGGUCGCCACAUUCCUCUGACUCUAGCAAAUCCAAAGAGAAAGAUGAUUCUAAGACAGGAACCAAUUCUGCUGCCGAGGCUGCCAAGCUCUUGGCGGAGCACCGCAGACAAAUGCGGGAGCAGAAGGAGAAAGAUGAACAACUCAGGAUACAGCGUGAGGAAGAGGAGAAGCUCAGGAAAGAGGAGGAGGAGCGUCUAGCAGAGGCCGCUCGGCUGAAGCGCCAAGAGGAGGAAAAGAAGCUCGCGGAGGAGAGAGAACUCAAGGAAGAGGAGGAGGCCAAAAGAGCGGAGGAAGAGCGAGAGAGACUGGAAGCUGAGGAGGCUCUGAAGCAGGCGGAGCUGCAGAAGGAGCGGGAGGAAGCAGAGGCCAAGGCCCUGGAGGAAGCAGAGAGGGUCCGCCAGGAGCGCGACCGCCUCAUGCAGCAGAAUCAGCAAGAGCGUAUGGAGAGGAAGAAGAGAAUUGAAGAAAUAAUGAAAAGAACUAGAAAAGGAGACGGAAUUGACUUUAAGAGAGAUGAAGACAAGGAGCAGGACGACAAUGAAGAUGCAAUGGACCUGAUGAGCUUUGAUACAAAAAGUGAAGGUCAGAUGGAUGAUGUCGCCAUGGAAAGGCACAACUACGGCGAUGAAGGGGCACAAAGAGAAGAAGCCCUCGGCUGCCCGAACGGAAGAGAGGAAACAGAUGACAAGGAGAACAACAACGCCCCAGACGAGACUCAGGCAGUCAGUCUAAUUUCAAAGGACCGUCUGGUGGAGGGCUCGGAGUUCCUGAACGAGGAAGACUCGGCCAAUGUGGAGCUGGUGUCGGGCCUGGGCAGCAAGUCCAACCAGUGGAGCUUCGAGGAGCUCAUGGAUCGCAACGUCCACUCCAAGACUCACGCCCUCAUCGAGGCAGAGGACUCUAACCCGGUCCUGAUCAACUGUGACGGGCCGGAUGGGACCAAAGGAAGCCCAGUGAACUCUCUGCAUUCCUCCAGUCAAGCCAUAGAGGCUCUCUCAGUACGACUGUUCCGUAAGCCACCAUGAGACCAAAGAAAGUUCCAAGUCUUUGGUAAAGAAGACGAGAAACACCAUUGACUUCAUGAAAGAAAGUAUGAAAAUGGCAGAUUACCCAUCCAAACAAUAACCCUCUCUAAGAGAUUUGAUGCUGCACCCACCUGGCCGGCACCGAGAAGACUCGCCGCUGUUGCACUCUUCAACUUCCUGAGCUCUGUUUAAAAGGUUCCAUACAGCUUCCUCUUCCAUUUAAUUCCAGGAGGAGGGGUCCAAGGUAAAAUGACCUCGCCCCAAGUGCUUAAGUGUCUCAUCUAUAAGAUGACGAAAGCUUCAGGGAAAUUCCGCAUGUUCCUUCUUCUCCCGUCAGGUCUACUACUACUUCUCCCUUUUGUUUUCUAUCUGCUGUCCGAGUUGUUUUAUAAGCCCUUUUUUUUGUCUUUGUCAGCAGUGCGCUGUUAUAAUUUUGUUAAUUAAUUUUGGGUUCUUUAUUUGUUGUUAAGAUGUGUUCCUCUUGUAUAAGCGUUUACGGUGUGCAUCAACCUCCGUAUCUCGUGUCUCUCGGGGAGUUUGGUGCGUGGCUCUUCUAAAUUUACUUGAGCGACUGCUGUCCUUUGGCAGCAUCAACAUUUAUGGCCUUAGCUGUUUUUUUUGUUUUGUUUGUUUUUUUUAGUUUUUUUUUUUUUUUUUUUGCUUACAAUUCUAGUUUGGGUGUGAAAAAAAAACGGGAUCGCUUCUGCCCUCAUUGCUUGUGCGCACAUGGUUUCCUGUCGUGUGACAUUUGGAAAAGCCGUUAGAGCAUUUGUCCCUUACCCUAGAUAUCCAGCUUAAGGUCCAUACACUAGUACGUUCUUUGUCUUCACUCGUAGGACAACUACAUGUUACGAGUGAGGUAAAACUGUACUCGUUGAUAUCUGAAAAUUAAUACAUGGACCUUAAUCUGGAUAUCAAAACAUUAUCUCAAACUGUUUUCCAACUAUAAGAGAGGGCUGUCCUGCCUUGAGACACCCUGCCUUGCAAUCUGUUUUUUGGCCACCAGAGGGUAAAGCAGGCAUGCUUAAGUUCCCGUUGUUUGUUGCUGUUUGGGGCUCAGUAGGCUUUGACUGUUUGUACAUUUGUAUAUGGAGCUUGUGUUUACUAAAAAGAUUGUUGUAGUUUACGUCAGUCUGGUCCUUUCAGCAAAAAAAAAAAAAAAACCUCCAACCAAUAUCCAUGAAACCUC
This is an RNA transcript of Phycodurus eques (leafy seadragon), 3904 nucleotides long. It is a transcript of the gene named MAP7 domain containing 3, with no coding region annotated. The transcript has 21 exons. The record is from RefSeq and is a predicted model, not a curated record. NCBI's taxonomy places the organism in Eukaryota, Metazoa, Chordata, Actinopteri, Syngnathiformes, Syngnathidae.